AGCAGCCGCGGUAAUUCCAGCUCCAAUAGCGUAUAUUAAAGUUGUUGCAGUUAAAAAGCUCGUAGUUGAAUUUCGGGAUCAAUACGUCGGUCGUGCUUCGGUACGUACUGGCGUCAUUGAUUUCUCCCUUCUGACGAACCAUGAUGUCAUUAACUUGGUGUCAUGGGAAAUCAGGACUGUUACUUUGAAAAAUUAGAGUGUUUAAAGCAGGCUCACGCUUGAAUACAUUAGCAUGGAAUAAUGAAAUAGGACGUUCGAUCCUAUUUUGUUGGUUUUUAGGAUCAACGUAAUGAUUAAUAGGGAUAGUUGGGGGCAUUAGUAUUCAAUUGUCAGAGGUGAAAUUCUUGGAUUUUAUGAAGACUAACUACUGCGAAAGCAUUUGCCAA
Molecule: ribosomal RNA, 386 nt
Filed under: uncultured Glomus
Lineage: Eukaryota; Fungi; Glomeromycota; Glomeromycetes; Glomerales; Glomeraceae
Description: SSU rRNA
Rfam family: Eukaryotic small subunit ribosomal RNA
Source: RNAcentral